Molecule: small nuclear RNA, 171 nt
Organism: Echinops telfairi (small Madagascar hedgehog)
Lineage: Eukaryota; Metazoa; Chordata; Mammalia; Afrosoricida; Tenrecidae
Gene: U1
Rfam family: U1 spliceosomal RNA
About the family: U1 is a small nuclear RNA (snRNA) component of the spliceosome (involved in pre-mRNA splicing). Its 5' end forms complementary base pairs with the 5' splice junction, thus defining the 5' donor site of an intron. There are significant differences in sequence and secondary structure between metazoan and yeast U1 snRNAs, the latter being much longer (568 nucleotides as compared to 164 nucleotides in human).
Source: Ensembl
AUACUUGCCUGGCAGGGGAGAAACUAUGAUCACGAAGGUGGGUUUCCCAGGGCGAGGCUUAGCCAUUGCACUCCGGAUGUGCUGACCUCUGUGAUUUCCCCAAAUGUGGAAAACUCAACUGUAUAAUUUGUAGUAGUGGAGGACUGGGGGGAAAAAACAAACACAUUUUUA